AAGUCGUAACAAGGUAACCGUAGGUGAACCUGCGGUUGGAUCAUUAUCAAUGUUCUAACAGAGUCUAAUCGGAGGGCUGCGAUCACAUCAAAAGUUUUUCGGUUUUACUUUGCACCAUCUUGUGAACCUGUAAACGUUCUUUGGCGGUUAUAUUCUGGCGAAACUGUUGUAAGCCGUUGGAAUUUUGUUUGUUCAUUAGUCUUGAGUUGGAUUGUUUAACUACGAUCAGGUUUAAGACGUGGGCUUGCAUGGCCGUCAAGAGGGAAGCUCCCUGUUUCAUAAAAAGUGUACCCUUGAAACGGCACUCUUUUGGAGAUUGGUUGCUUUCCGCCUAUGAAACUAAAUGUAUUUUAUUCUUUAUUGACUUUUGGAUCCUUUAUGAGGGCGUUACUUAAUUGAAAUACAACUUUCAACAACGGAUCUCUUGGCUCUC
This 433-nucleotide unclassified non-coding RNA is filed under the name fungal sp. Its description in RNAcentral is "partial internal transcribed spacer region". The stretch from base 1 to 46 matches the Rfam family "Eukaryotic small subunit ribosomal RNA", at positions 1786 to 1831 of the family's 1831-position model. The record is from RNAcentral. Lineage: Eukaryota; Fungi.